RNAcentral lists this ribosomal RNA (444 nucleotides) under uncultured Sorangiineae bacterium. RNAcentral describes it as "bacterial SSU rRNA". It matches the Rfam family "Bacterial small subunit ribosomal RNA", at positions 355 to 794 of the family's 1533-position model. The record is from RNAcentral. Lineage: Bacteria; Pseudomonadati; Myxococcota; Myxococcia; Myxococcales.
UGGGGAAUUUUCCGCAAUGGGCGAAAGCCUGACGGAGCGACACCGCGUGUAGGAUGAAGGCCUUCGGGUUGUAAACUACUGUCACGUUCUAGGAACUGCUCGGCGUGAAUAGCGCCGAGCUCGACCAAGACGGGAGGAAGCACCGGCUAACUCUGUGCCAGCAGCCGCGGUAAGACAGAGGGUGCAAACGUUGUUCGGAAUUACUGGGCAUAAAGCGCACGUAGGUGGUUCGUUAAGUCGCGUGUGAAAUCCCCCGGCUCAACCGGGGAAUUGCGCGCGAUACUGGCGGGUUUGAGAUCGGGAGGGGUGAGCGGAACUCCAGGUGGAGCGGUGAAAUGCGUAGAUAUCUGGAGGAACACCGGUGGCGAAAGCGGCUCACUGGCCCGACACUGACGCUGAGGUGCGAAAGCUAGGGUAGCAAAAGGGAUUAGAUACCCCUGUAGU